AGUGAACGCUGGCGGUAGGCCUAACACAUGCAAGUCGAACGGCAGCACAGUAAGAGCUUGCUCUUACGGGUGGGGAGUGGCGGACGGGUGAGGAAUACAUCGGAAUCUACUUUUUCGUGGGGGAUAACGUAGGGAGACUUACGCUAAUACCGCAUACGACCUACGGGUGAAAGCAGUGGAUCUUCGGACCUUGCGCGAUUGAAUGAGCCGAUGUCGGGUUAGCUAGUUGGCGGGGUACUGGCCCACCAAGGCGACGAUCCGUAGCUGGUCUGAGAGGAUGAUCAGCCACACUGGAACUGAGACACGGUCCAGACUCCUACGGGAGGCAGCAGUGGGGAAUAUUGGACAAUGGGCGCAAGCCUGAUCCAGCCAUACCGCGUGGGUGAAGAAGGCCUUCGGGUUGUAAAGCCCUUUUGUUGGGAAAGAAAAGCAGCAGGUUAAUACCCCGCUGUUCUGACGGUACCCAAAGAAUAAGCACCGGCUAACUUCGUG
RNAcentral lists this ribosomal RNA (492 nucleotides) under uncultured bacterium. RNAcentral describes it as "partial 16S ribosomal RNA". It matches the Rfam family "Bacterial small subunit ribosomal RNA", at positions 29 to 507 of the family's 1533-position model. The record is from RNAcentral.